This 460-nucleotide ribosomal RNA is filed under the name uncultured bacterium. RNAcentral describes it as "partial 16S ribosomal RNA". It matches the Rfam family "Bacterial small subunit ribosomal RNA", at positions 338 to 795 of the family's 1533-position model. The record is from RNAcentral.
CCUACGGGAGGCUGCAGUGAGGAAUAUUGGUCAAUGGACGAGAGUCUGAACCAGCCAAGUAGCGUGAAGGAUGACUGCCCUAUGGGUUGUAAACUUCUUUUAUAUGGGAAUAAAAUGUUCCACGUGUGGGAUUUUGUAUGUACCAUAUGAAUAAGGAUCGGCUAACUCCGUGCCAGCAGCCGCGGUAAUACGGAGGAUCCGAGCGUUAUCCGGAUUUAUUGGGUUUAAAGGGAGCGUAGGUGGAUUGUUAAGUCAGUUGUGAAAGUGUGCGGCUCAACCGUAGAACUGCAGUUGAAACUGGGAGUCUUGAGUACAGUAGAGGUGGGCGGAAUGCGUGGUGUAGCGGUGAAAUGCUUAGAUAUCACGAAGAACUCCGAUUGCGAAGGCAGCCCACUGUACUGCAACUGACACUGAGGCUCGAAAGUGUGGGUAUCAAACAGGAUUAGAUACCCUAGUAGUC